UGAAAAUGACUUAGAGAAAAUAACGCCACAGAUACAGCUAAAACGUGAAUGAAGCUGGAGGCAGCAGAGGACCACACACCAUGAAAUGUAAACAGAGGAGAAAAAAGCUCCAUGCCAGACAGGAAGAGAAGAACCAGAAGAGCAGUCUUUACAAAUAGAGAUACCAACAACUGGAUACUUUAAUACGUCUUCCACUGGACCUCACUCCUUAUCCCCAUACCUCCCUUUCCCAAAAACCUACCUACCUGAGCAUGGGUGGGAGUAGGAAGGACAAUUUUUCAACUCUCAGAUAAUUCCAAUGUGUUAAAGGAAAUGAACGUAAAACCUGACACCAAGAACAUAACUGGUACACUUCAGAACAAGUGGCCUCAGGAUACCUGUCUUCCACGACCUCUCAUACUAAAAUUCUGCUCCACAGAAAACAGCCACCCUCACUCAUUCGGAGUCUUCCAAUCUUUAAACAUUAUGCUCCCCCCAUUCCCCCAAAGGAAAAUAUCCAUCUUGGUUUCAAAAGGAUUCUUCAUUACCUCUGUA
Long non-coding RNA from Phacochoerus africanus (Common warthog), 534 nucleotides. RefSeq lists it as uncharacterized. The record is from RefSeq and is a predicted model, not a curated record. NCBI's taxonomy places the organism in Eukaryota, Metazoa, Chordata, Mammalia, Artiodactyla, Suidae. The transcript is spliced from 2 exons.